AUUAAACCAAUAGCCAAUGGUGCGAUCACUCCCACACUUCCCUUCUUAGGAUCAACGGCUGUGGCGUAGACUGUGUAGACCAAUCCGAAUGUCAUCACGAUCUCGAAAACAAAGGCAUUCCAGACCCCCACUCCGGAGGAUAAUCCAAAGGCUGGUAUAGACUGCGAUCACCAUAACGUAAAAAUAAAUAAAUAGAGGAACACUAUAUAUCAAAUUAACGGAAAUUACUGAUUUUCUAGCGGAAACUGGGGGGAAAUGGUAAAGUUACCAGGCCGUUGGUAGCGAACUUAAGCAACAGGCAAGCUACGGUUGAGCCAAGGAGUUGGGCGAUCCAGUAGAGGAUGCCACGUAAAAGAGUGAUGUUCCCGCCAACGAAAGCACCGAAGGUGACGGCUGGGUUGACGUGGCCUCCGGAGAUGUUGGCGCCAACAGAGACAGCGACGAAAAGGGCGAAGCCGUAAGCUAGGGAGGCGGCUACGAGACCGGCCGGGGUGCUUGCUCCGUUGUCGGUCAACUUGUUAUACGCCAUGCUCGAGCCUGAUCCAGCGAAGACGAAGAUUAAGGUUGAUAUGAACUCAGCCAAAGCUGCCUUAAGAGCAUCUGGGUGUGCAGCCUCCUCGGGCCGGCCAACGGCUAUGUUUCUGAACGGCAUGCUUACUGUCUGAUCAAGAAUCCACCGGUCGGAGUGAAGAGUGUUGUUUGAG
This 704-nucleotide long non-coding RNA is filed under the name Theobroma cacao (cacao). RNAcentral's name for it is "long non-coding RNA (TCAC_LNC002850)". Lineage: Eukaryota; Viridiplantae; Streptophyta; Magnoliopsida; Malvales; Malvaceae. The record is from RNAcentral.